Molecule: long non-coding RNA, 627 nt
Filed under: Bos grunniens (domestic yak)
Lineage: Eukaryota; Metazoa; Chordata; Mammalia; Artiodactyla; Bovidae
Description: lncRNA (ENSBGRG00000013983.1)
Source: RNAcentral
AUGAAUGAGCAACAUUUAAAUACACUUACCCUUUGGAGAGAUCAACUUACUCCCUCGGUUAAAGACUACUAUUGGAGGGAUUGCUUCUCUCGUAUCUUGUUCCUUCAAGAAGUUCUGCAAGAAAUGGAUAUGGUCCGGCUGCCACUCUGGACUUGGGCACAAGAUUUGCUGUGGCCCUUGACCCCUGAGUCAGUCUCACACUGCGGAAAGAAGCAGCAGCUUGGAGCUAGAAGAUCUCAAUUCCAGACCAGUUCCACCCACUCUCUGAGGCUUAGUUUCCUUCCGAGGAUCAAUGAGAUGAAAGUGCUGUGUGAAGCAAUAUUAACUAUAAGGAAUAAUAUUCUACGGAGUUCAUCUCUUCAAUUAACCUGUGGAUCCCUAAUUACCCACAUGUAUUUUGCAAGUAAAAUCCAACUUUUUCAAGUAGCAUAUUCACCAUAUGCAACUGAAAUAUGCAAGCCGGGUUAUGCAAAUGGAAAAAAAAUACAGAUUUAAGUAAGCCUAUUACUCACAGGAGACUUGUGUAUUCAUGAUGCGUUUGGUUUAAAACCAUUAAAAUUUUUAUUCUGUUUAAUGCAUGGUCCUUUUGUGUUAUUGGAGCUCAAUUUGAAUAAGCUAUCUCACUAU